CCUACGGGAGGCAGCAGUAAGGAAUAUUGGUCAAUGGAGGCAACUCUGAACCAGCCAUGCCGCGUGCAGGAUGACGGCCCUAUGGGUUGUAAACUGCUUUUAUACAAGAGAAAACCCUGGUACGUGUACCAGGUUGAUAGUAUUGUAAGAAUAAGCAUCGGCUAACUUCGUGCCAGCAGCCGCGGUAAGACGAAGGAUGCAAGCGUUAUCCGGAUUCAUUGGGUUUAAAGGGUGCGUAGGCGGACUGAUAAGUCAGUGGUGAAAUCUCUUUGCUUAACAAAGAAACUGCCAUUGAUACUGUCGGUCUAGAGUAUAGAUGACGUUGGCGGAAUAUGACAUGUAGUGGUGAAAUACUUAGAUAUGUCAUAGAACACCGAUUGCGAAGGCAGCUAACGAAACUAUAACUGACGCUGAGGCACGAAAGUGCGGGGAUCAAACAGGAUUAGAUACCCUGGUAGUCCGCACCGUAAACGAUGAUUACUCGUUGUUGGCGAUAUGACAGUCAGCGACCAAGCGAAAGCGAUAAGAAUCCACCUGGGGAGUACGCCGGCAACGGUGAAACUCAAAGGAAUUGACGGCGNGAGAGNGCGACGGACGACGACGAGGGAGGAGG
RNAcentral lists this ribosomal RNA (613 nucleotides) under uncultured bacterium. RNAcentral describes it as "bacterial SSU rRNA". It matches the Rfam family "Bacterial small subunit ribosomal RNA", at positions 338 to 954 of the family's 1533-position model. The record is from RNAcentral.